GCCGCAGGUGUCCGGUUGUCUUCAUUCUCCGCCAGCCUGGAUCCGCUCCAGGUCAACUGGAACGGAUGGGAGGACAUCGGCCGUGGUCUGAGUGAACGGAGUUUGGACAAAAGCUGUGUGCACACAAAAACAAGGUAAGCAGACCUUUUAUUUCUGCUAUAUUGAACAUUAUAAAAAUACUUAGUGUCCAAACUCCUAGUAAUUCAUAACCAAAAUUGUCUGGCUUACUUAAGGCUUGUUGAGAAUCAGACAAGUGAAUAAGAAAUAAGUGAAUAAGUGAAUAAAGAUAAGAGUGAACUGAGGUCUGACCACGGUUGCAGCCGACGGGUUGCUCUCCGGUGUCGGAUAAAUACCUCAGUGCAGGUCUGGGACCUUGAAAGGGUUUAUUAGUAACGCCUUUCUAAACAAAUUAAAAGGUUAAAGGCCUUGAGAAUAUUUUUUAGUAAUAUUCUCUAAACUACAGAAGGGUUAGGAAGGCCCAGAGGACUUUAUUAGAAAAGAUCCUCUAAAA
Molecule: non-coding RNA, 511 nt
Organism: Maylandia zebra (zebra mbuna)
Lineage: Eukaryota; Metazoa; Chordata; Actinopteri; Cichliformes; Cichlidae
Source: RefSeq, a predicted model, not a curated record